GACGAACGCUGGCGGCGUGCUUAACACAUGCAAGUCGAACGGAAAGGCCCCUUUGUUGGUACUGGAGUGGCGAACGGGUGCGUAACACGUGAGUAACCUGCCCUUGCCUUCGGGAUAACUUCAGGAAACUGGGGCUAGUACCGGAUAGGAAUCCUAGCUGCAUGCUGGGGGUUGGAAAGCUUCGGCGGUAUUGGAUGGACUCGCGGGUUAUCAGCCUGUUGGUGGGGUAGUGGGUUACCAAGGCCGUGACGGGUAGCCGGCCCGAGAGGGCGACCGGCCACAUGGGGACUGAGGGAGGGCCCAGACGCCUACGGGAGGCAGCAGGGGGGAAUAUUGCACAAUGGGGGGGAGCCUGAGGCGGAAACGCCGCGGGCGGGAUGAUGGGCUGUGGGUUGUAAACCGGUUUCAGCAGGGGAGAAGCUUGUGGUGACGGUACCUGCAGAAGAAGCACCGGCUAACUACGUG
Molecule: ribosomal RNA, 465 nt
Filed under: uncultured bacterium
Lineage: Bacteria
Description: partial 16S ribosomal RNA
Rfam family: Bacterial small subunit ribosomal RNA
Source: RNAcentral